AGCUCCAAUAGCGUAUAUUAAUUUUGUUGCAGUUAAAAAGCUCGUAGUUGGAUUUCUUUUAUGUUUUAGGGUCAAGAUGCUGCAGCCUUCUAGGCUUGCCAUCUUCCUAUUAUAUAAAAUAGUUUGUGAUUUCUGUAUUGGGUAGAUCGUUAGUUCUUCAUUGAAUUAUUGGUUAGCUCUUUACAUUAGGGAAUCGCAUCAUUUACUGUGAAAAAAUCAAAGCGUUCAAAGCAGGCUUUAAGCUCAUUGAAUGUCUCAGCAUGGAAUAAUAAGAUAGGUCUCAUCCUCAUUUUGUUGGUUUGCAAGGAAGAGAAAUGAUUAAAAGGGACAAUUGGGGGUAUUCGUAUUAGAUUGUCAGAGGUGAAAUUCUUGGAUUUAUUUAAGACGAACAACUGCGAAA
This 400-nucleotide ribosomal RNA is filed under the name phytoplankton environmental sample. Its description in RNAcentral is "partial small subunit ribosomal RNA". It matches the Rfam family "Eukaryotic small subunit ribosomal RNA", at positions 587 to 950 of the family's 1831-position model. The record is from RNAcentral.